This is a long non-coding RNA of Athene cunicularia (burrowing owl), 232 nucleotides long. RefSeq lists it as uncharacterized. The record is from RefSeq and is a predicted model, not a curated record. Lineage: Eukaryota; Metazoa; Chordata; Aves; Strigiformes; Strigidae. The transcript has 3 exons.
CUUACUGCUUGAGAAUUGCAUUUUAAUAUUUAACCGAAUUUUCCAGAACCUAUUUACAGGAGAAAAGUAUCAAAAUAACAUGGUUUAUCUUGGAAGAUUCUUAAUGCUUACAUUAGAUGUCUUUUAACCUUAGUUAUGUUGAAAUGCUUUCUUAAAGUUUAUUCUGGAAAAUGUAGAAACCUGUCUUGACUUUCUUUGAGAAACCUACACAUUUUUAUCACAUAACUGGCUA